UUUUUAUAGUUGAUUUACAACGGUGGUUUUUCAAGCCAUUAGUCCUGGUUAAAGUCCGGGUAGGAACUG
This 69-nucleotide transfer RNA is filed under the name Paraulopus oblongus. RNAcentral describes it as "tRNA-Glu". It matches the Rfam family "tRNA". From Rfam's summary of the family: Transfer RNA (tRNA) molecules are approximately 80 nucleotides in length. Their secondary structure includes four short double-helical elements and three loops (D, anti-codon, and T loops). Further hydrogen bonds mediate the characteristic L-shaped molecular structure. tRNAs have two regions of fundamental functional importance: the anti-codon, which is responsible for specific mRNA codon recognition, and the 3' end, to which the tRNAs corresponding amino acid is attached (by aminoacyl-tRNA synthetases). tRNAs cope with the degeneracy of the genetic code in two manners: having more than one tRNA (with a specific anti-codon) for a particular amino acid; and 'wobble' base-pairing, i.e. permitting non-standard base-pairing at the 3rd anti-codon position. The record is from RNAcentral. Lineage: Eukaryota; Metazoa; Chordata; Actinopteri; Aulopiformes; Paraulopidae.